GAUAAGACCUAGUGGCGAAAGGGCGAGUAAUACAUUUCUGACGUACCCCGAGGUUCGGGAUAGCCCAGGGAAACCUGGAGUAAUACCGGAUGCGGUCAACGGGUCCAGAAGCCGUUGAUCAAAGGAGCAAUCCGACUUGGGAGCGGGAAAUGUCCUAUCAGGUAGUUGGCGGGGUAACGGCCCACCAAGCCGAAGACGGGUAGCGGGUGUGAGAGCACGGCCCGCCGCAUCGGGACUGAGACACUGCCCGGACUCCUACGGGAGGCUGCAGUAACGAAUAUUCCACAAUGCGCGAAAGCGUGAUGGAGCAAUGCCGCGUGCAGGAUGAAGGCCUUCGGGUUGUAAACUGCUGUCAGGGUUUAGGAACAUAAUGACCAGACCCAAAGGAAGAGACGGCUAACUCUGUGCCAGCAGCCGCGGUAAUACAGAGGUCUCGAGCGUUAAUCGGAAUCACUGGGCUUAAAGCGUACGCAGGCGGACCGGUAAGUACUUUGUGAAAUCCCCCGGCUCAGCCGGGGAACUGCUUGGUAUACUGCCGGUCUGGAGCAUGGUAGAGGCGGUCGGAACGAUAUGU
This 574-nucleotide ribosomal RNA is filed under the name uncultured bacterium. Its description in RNAcentral is "bacterial SSU rRNA". It matches the Rfam family "Bacterial small subunit ribosomal RNA", at positions 84 to 674 of the family's 1533-position model. The record is from RNAcentral.